AUUGAACGCUAGCGGGAUGCUUUACACAUGCAAGUCGAACGGCAGCGCGGACUUCGGUCUGGCGGCGAGUGGCGAACGGGUGAGUAAUGUAUCGGAACGUGCCCAGUAGCGGGGGAUAACUACGCGAAAGCGUAGCUAAUACCGCAUACGCCCUACGGGGGAAAGCAGGGGAUCGUAAGACCUUGCACUAUUGGAGCGGCCGAUAUCGGAUUAGCUAGUUGGUGAGGUAACGGCUCACCAAGGCGACGAUCCGUAGCUGGUUUGAGAGGACGACCAGCCACACUGGGACUGAGACACGGCCCAGACUCCUACGGGAGGCAGCAGUGGGGAAUUUUGGACAAUGGGGGCAACCCUGAUGCAGCCAUCCCGCGUGUGCGAUGAAGGCCUUCGGGUUGUAAAGCACUUUUGGCAGGAAAGAAACGUCGCGGGCUAAUACCCCAUGUAACUGACGGUACCUGCAGAAUAAGCACCGGCUAACUACGUG
Molecule: ribosomal RNA, 484 nt
Filed under: uncultured bacterium
Lineage: Bacteria
Description: partial 16S ribosomal RNA
Rfam family: Bacterial small subunit ribosomal RNA
Source: RNAcentral